UGCAGUCGAGCGCCCGCAAGGGGAGCGGCAGACGGGUGAGUAACACGUGGGAAUCUACCCAGCUCUACGGAACAACCCAGGGAAACUUGGACUAAUACCGUAUACGUCCUUCGGGAGAUAGAUUUAUCGGAGUUGGAUGAGCCCGCGUCGGAUUAGCUAGUUGGUGAGGUAAUGGCUCACCAAAGCGACGAUCCGUAGCUGGUCUGAGAGGAUGAUCAGCCACACUGGGACUGAGACACGGCCCAGACUCCUACGGGAGGCAGCAGUGGGGAAUAUUGGACAAUGGGCGAAAGCCUGAUCCAGCCAUGCCGCGUGAGUGAUGAAGCCCUAGGGGUUGUAAAGCUCUUUCCACGGGGGAAAGAUAAUGACGGUACCCCGGAAGAAGAAGCCCGGGCUACUUUCGUGCCA
RNAcentral lists this ribosomal RNA (408 nucleotides) under uncultured Mesorhizobium sp. RNAcentral's name for it is "bacterial SSU rRNA". It matches the Rfam family "Bacterial small subunit ribosomal RNA", at positions 56 to 510 of the family's 1533-position model. Lineage: Bacteria; Pseudomonadati; Pseudomonadota; Alphaproteobacteria; Hyphomicrobiales; Phyllobacteriaceae. The record is from RNAcentral.